This 428-nucleotide ribosomal RNA is filed under the name uncultured prokaryote. RNAcentral describes it as "bacterial SSU rRNA". It matches the Rfam family "Bacterial small subunit ribosomal RNA", at positions 355 to 774 of the family's 1533-position model. The record is from RNAcentral.
UGAGGAAUCUUGCGCAAUGGGGGAAACCCUGACGCAGCAACGCCGCGUGAGUGAGGAAGGUCUUCGGAUCGUAAAGCUCUGUCAGAUGGAAAGAACCGCAUGGGGGCCAAUACCCCUCAUGCCUGACUGUACCCACAGAGGAAGCCCCGGCUAACUACGUGCCAGCAGCCGCGGUAAGACGUAGGGGGCGAGCGUUGUUCGGAAUUACUGGGCGUAAAGAGCUCGUAGGCUGGAAAUUAAGUCUUUGAACAAAUCUCCCGGCUCAACCGGGAACCGUUUAGAGAUACUGAUUUUCUUGAGAACAGGAGAGGGGAAUGGAAUUCCUAGUGUAGCGGUGAAAUGCGUAGAUAUUAGGAGGAACACCAGUGGCGAAGGCGGUUCUCUGGCCUGUUUCUGACGCUGAGGAGCGAAAGCUGGGGGAGCGAACG